ACAACAGGGAUUGCCCUAGUAACGGCGAGUGAAGCGGCAACAGCUCAAAUUUGAAAUCUGACUUUCGGGUCCGAGUUGUAAUUUGUAGAGGAUGCUUUUGGUGCGGUACCUUACGAGUUCCCUGGAACGGGACGCCUUAGAGGGUGAGAGCCCCGUACGUUUGAAUACCAAUCCUCUGUAAAGCUCCUUCGACGAGUCGAGUAGUUUGGGAAUGCUGCUCUAAAUGGGAGGUAAAUUUCUUCUAAAGCUAAAUACCGGCCAGAGACCGAUAGCGCACAAGUAGAGUGAUCGAAAGAUGAAAAGCACUUUGAAAAGAGGGUUAAAUAGCACGUGAAAUUGUUGAAAGGGAAGCGUUUAUGACCAGACUUUUUCUUAGCGGAUCAUCCGGUGUUCUCCACCGGUGCACUUCGUUAGGUUUAGGCCAGCAUCGGUUUUCGUAGAGGGAUAAAAGCAGCGGUAAUGUGGCCCCCUCCGGGGGGUGUUAUAGACCGUUGUAUAAUACCUUUAUGGGGACCGAGGUUCGCGCAUCUGCAAGGAUGCUGGCGUAAUGGUCAUCAGCGACCCGUCUUGAAACACGGACCAAGGAGUCGAACAUUUGUGCAAGUAUUUGGGUGUUAAACCCUCAUGCGUAAUGAAAGUGAACGGAGGUGGGAGCCUUAGGGUGCACCAUCGACCGAUCCUGAUGUUUUCGGAUGGAUUUGAGUAAGAGCAUAACUGUUCGGACCCGAAAGAUGGUGAACUAUGCGUGGAUAGGGUGAAGCCAGAGGAAACUCUGGUGGAGGCUCGCAGCGGUUCUGACGUGCAAAUCGAUCGUCAAAUCUGCGCAUGGGGGCGAAAGACUAAUCGAACCAUUAACACCAGCGGUAAAUUUGAUUUACUAGGUGGUUAAGAGGUGGCCCGAGAGGGCUGGAAAUACAACCUAGGUCGGACUGAGCUACCCUGUAGCGAGGUUGCGGCCGACACUGCUAAAUUGCGGGGACCUCCUUUCAAACGGUUGUAGGCUACCGCGGCGCGCUGAAAAGCGUGGCCGCACCAAGGAUAACGACCUUGGGUAUGGUAAUAACGCCUGCGACUUGGAAGACCUGCAGCCAACCCCUUAAAAGGGGAGAGUUCACAGACUAAACAGCAGUGGGUCGGUUACCCUGUAGCCGGUCUAAGACAUAGUCGAUCCAGGCCCUGAAAAGGUGUCUAACUAGAAAACUAAUA
RNAcentral lists this ribosomal RNA (1206 nucleotides) under Pseudapiospora corni. Its description in RNAcentral is "LSU rRNA". It matches the Rfam family "Eukaryotic large subunit ribosomal RNA", at positions 65 to 1205 of the family's 3401-position model. The record is from RNAcentral. Lineage: Eukaryota; Fungi; Ascomycota; Sordariomycetes; Amphisphaeriales; Pseudomassariaceae.